UCCUGUAAAAUUAAGAAAUCACACAAUUUGAUGGUCUACAUUAUCUAAAGCAAAUGAGACUUCUAUUUGGAACAAAGACUACCUUGUUGGGAAAUGAGUCUGCAAGUUAAAGUGUUUUCUGGGAUCACUCUAAGCUCCAGUGUUAAGGAGUCAAGUCCUUCAGGAAUUCUCUGCCUCCACUCCCUGUGGCAGAGCUAGAGUGGCUGCCAUGCUUCUGAGCUCAGCCAGCAUCCAGAGAGACAGUGAGAUACAGCCUCCUCUUCUUGAAGCACCCACUUCUAAACUCUAUGACAGUUUUCUUGGAACUCUGUUAUGUGGGUCUGGAGAUGACAAUGUCACAGCACUCCCCUCUAAGCCUAAAUUCCCCCACAUCGAUGAACUAUUAGGGUGGUCUGCUGCUGAUCAAAUGAAAGUAUUCCCCAGCU
This 425-nucleotide long non-coding RNA is filed under the name Pan troglodytes (chimpanzee). Its description in RNAcentral is "lincRNA". Lineage: Eukaryota; Metazoa; Chordata; Mammalia; Primates; Hominidae. The record is from RNAcentral.